UUGGACAAUGGUAGGAGAGCGUUCUAAGGGCGUUGAAGCAUGAUCGCAAGGACAUGUGGAGCGCUUAGAAGUGAGAAUGCCGGUGUGAGUAGCGAAAGACGGGUGAGAAUCCCGUCCACCGAUUGACUAAGGUUUCCAGAGGAAGGCUCGUCCGCUCUGGGUUAGUCGGGUCCUAAGCUGAGGCCGACAGGCGUAGGCGAUGGAUAACAGGUUGAUAUUCCUGUACCACCAUUAUUCGUUUUAAGCGAUGGGGGGACGCAGUAGGAUAGGCGAAGCGUGCUGUUGGAGUGCACGUCCAAGCAGUGAGAUUGAGUGUUAGGCAAAUCCGGCACUCUUAAGAUUGAGCUGUGAUGGGGAGAGGAACUUGUUCCUCGAGUCGUUGAUUUCACACUGCCGAGAAAAGCCUCUAGCUAGAAUAACGGUGCCCGUACCGCAAACCGACACAGGUAGUCAAGAUGAGAAUUCUAAGGUGAGCGAGCGAACUCUCGUUAAGGAACUCGGCAAAAUGACCCCGUAACUUCGGGAGAAGGGGUGCUCUU
RNAcentral lists this ribosomal RNA (539 nucleotides) under Staphylococcus pseudintermedius. Its description in RNAcentral is "partial 23S ribosomal RNA". It matches the Rfam family "Bacterial large subunit ribosomal RNA", at positions 1218 to 1755 of the family's 2925-position model. The record is from RNAcentral. Lineage: Bacteria; Bacillati; Bacillota; Bacilli; Caryophanales; Staphylococcaceae.